This 896-nucleotide long non-coding RNA is filed under the name Vulpes vulpes (red fox). RNAcentral describes it as "lncRNA (ENSVVUG00000001323.1)". Lineage: Eukaryota; Metazoa; Chordata; Mammalia; Carnivora; Canidae. The record is from RNAcentral.
CCACAAAAUCCUUUUGAAGUCUUGGAAUAUAUCCACCAGUCAAAGGAAACCGAGAAGGUGAUUAGAAAGCAUUGGUUAGAAAAAGAUACUUGCAAAUUCAUUUUCUCACAUGCUGAUACAUUUCGUUUUGGCAGGCUUGAUUUUUAUAAAGCCUUGGACUAAAAUGAAAACAAUUGAAUUGGAAACUUUGUAUCACCCACUUCAGGGAAUAUUACAACAGCUUCUACUAUGGACUCAAGUGCAUUUAAAGGAAAUAUAUUCCCAGGAAUUCAAAGCUCAUAAAGAGAACUGAUGGUGUAUGGUGUAGAAGACUGAACAUUUUUAUUCUGCAGUAAACAGAGGCAAGUCUAGUUGCUACCCAGUUUUUAUUUUUAUCUAUUUAUUUAUUAAACAAUUUUUUUUAUUGGAGUUCAAUUUGCCAACAUAUAGCAUAACACCCAGUGCUCGUCCCGCCAAGUGCCCCCUCAUUGCCCAUCACCCAGUCACCCCAACCCCCACCUACCUCCCCUUCCACUACCCCUUCUUCAUUUCCUAGAAUUAGGUGUCUCUUAUGUUCUGUCUCCCCACUGAUAUUUUCACUCAUUUUCUCUCCUUUCCCUUUAUUCCCUUUCACUAAUUUUUAUAUUCCCCAAAUGAAUGAGGCCAUACAAUGUUUGUCCUUUUCCAAUUGACUUAUUUCACUCAGCAUAAUGCCCUCCAGUUCUAUCCACAUUGAAGCAAAUAGUGGCUACCCAGUUUUUAUGUGAAUAUUUUGGUGUUCUCAUAUUUGCUUCCACCAUAAUGUAGGGAAGUGGUUCCCCAACCUGGCUGGCCAGUAGAACUACCUAAAGAACUGUUUAAACGUACAUAUCCUUGAGUAUUUGCCCUAUCUAAUAAAACAUCAUCUAUCUCUUACA